Molecule: ribosomal RNA, 568 nt
Filed under: uncultured bacterium
Lineage: Bacteria
Description: bacterial SSU rRNA
Rfam family: Bacterial small subunit ribosomal RNA
Source: RNAcentral
CCUACGGGAGGCAGCAGUGGGGAAUUUUCCGCAAUGGGCGAAAGCCUGACGGAGCAAUACCGCGUGAGGGAAGAAAGCCUACUGGGUUGUAAACCUCUUUUUUCAGGGAGGAAAAAAAUGACGUGUACCUGAAGAAUAAGCAUCGGCUAACUCCGUGCCAGCAGCCGCGGUAAGACGGAGGAUGCAAGUGUUAUCCGGAAUUACUGGGCGUAAAGCGUCUGUAGGUGGUUUAAUAAGUCAACUGUUAAAUCUUGAGGCUUAACUUCAAAACAGCAGUCGAAACUAUUAGACUAGAGUAUAGUAGGGGUAAAGGGAAUUUCCAGUGGAGCGGUGAAAUGCGUAGAUAUUGGAAAGAACACCGAUGGCGAAAGCACUUUACUGGGCUAUUACUAACGCUCAGAGACGAAAGCUAGGGUAGCAAAUGGGAUUAGAUACCCCAGUAGUCCUAGCUGUAAACAAUGGAUACUAGAUGUUGAACAGAUCGACCUGUGCAGUAUUAAAGCUAAACGCGUUAAGUAUCCCGCCUGGGAAGUAUGCUCGCAAGAGUGAAACUCAAAGGAAUUGACGG